Molecule: ribosomal RNA, 440 nt
Filed under: uncultured bacterium
Lineage: Bacteria
Description: partial 16S ribosomal RNA
Rfam family: Bacterial small subunit ribosomal RNA
Source: RNAcentral
CCUACGGGUGGCAGCAGUGGGGAAUAUUGCACAAUGGGGGAAACCCUGAUGCAGCGACGCCGCGUGAGUGAAGAAGUCUCUCUGUAUGUAAAGCUCUAUCAGCAGGGAAGAAAAUGACGGUACCUGACUAAUAAUCCCCGUCUAACUCCGUUCCAGCAGCCGCGGUAAUACGUAGGGGGCAAGCGUUAUCCGGAUUUACUGGGUGUAAAGGGAGCGUAGACGGCGGUGCAAGUCCGGAGUGAAAGCGCAUGGCUUAACCAUGGGACUGCACUGGAAACUGGGGGGCUUGAGUGAAGUAGAGGCAGGCGGAAUUCGUAGUGUAGCGGUGAAAUGCGUAGAUAUUAGGAGGAACACCAGUGGCGAAGGCGGCUUACUGGACUGUAACUGACACUGAGGCACGAAAGCGUGGGGAGCAAACAGGAUUAGAUACCCCAGUAGUC